UAUCUCUGUAGAGUCUGCAUAUCAAUAAGCGGAGGAAAAGAAACUAACUAAGGAUUCCCCUCAGUAGCGGCGAGUGAAGCGGGAAGAGCUCAAAUUUGAAAUCUUCAAGGGUUCUACCUUUACGAAUUGUAGUUUAAAGAAGUGUUUUCUGUUGAGGUUUUGGUAAAAGUUCUUUGGAAUAGGACAUCAUAGAGGGUGAGAAUCCCGUAUUUGACCUUUACUUUCAACUUUGUGAUACACUUUCAAAGAGUCGGAUUGUUUGGGAAUGCAGUCCAAAAUGGGUGGUAAAUUUCAUCUAAAGCUAAAUAUUGGCGAGAGACCGAUAGCGAACAAGUACCGUGAGGGAAAGAUGAAAAGAACUUUGAAAAGAGAGUUAAACAGUACGUGAAAUUGUCAAAAGGGAAGCGUUUGACACCAGUGUUGUUUUUCUGAAAAUCAAUUAAAGAACUGUUUAUGCUAAGCUGUUUAGACUUUAUCAGCUAUCUGUUUAGUUUUGAGCUUUUCUUUAAUGCACUUUUCAGUUAACAAGUCAACAUCAAUUUCUUUUGCUGUAAAAAAGCUUGAGGAAGGUGGCUUGAGAUUCGUCUUAAGUGUUUAUAGCCUCUUGCCUAUGCAGUCGGAGAGAUUGAGGUCUGCAGCGUAGAUCCUUCGGGGCUAAAUGCAUUUGUGCUAAGUUAUAGCAUUUUAUAGACAACUUGUUGACUAUGAUUUGUCUUGUAGCUUACUCGCUUAUGUUAUUUUACCUACGCUUAGGAUGUUGACGAUCAGCUGAGCGCG
RNAcentral lists this ribosomal RNA (777 nucleotides) under uncultured Neocallimastigales. RNAcentral's name for it is "partial large subunit ribosomal RNA". It matches the Rfam family "Eukaryotic large subunit ribosomal RNA", at positions 24 to 639 of the family's 3401-position model. Lineage: Eukaryota; Fungi; Neocallimastigomycota; Neocallimastigomycetes; Neocallimastigales. The record is from RNAcentral.